UCCGGUUUGUCACCGGCAGUCUCCCUAGAGUGCCCUUGCGUAGCAACAUGGAACGGGGGUUGCGCUCGUUGCGGGACUUAACCCAACAUCUCACGACACGAGCUGACGACAGCCAUGCACCACCUGUGAAGGUGUCCCGAAGGAAGACCGUGUUUCCACGAUUGUCACCUACAUGUCAAACCCAGGUAAGGUUCUUCGCGUUGCGUCGAAUUAAACCACAUGCUCCGCUGCUUGUGCGGGUCCCCGUCAAUUCCUUUGAGUUUUAGCCUUGCGGCCGUACUCCCCAGGCGGGGCACUUAGUGCGUUAGCUGCGGCACGGAAGGAGUCGAUGACCUCCCACACCUAGCGCCCAUCGUUUACGGCGUGGACUAC
Molecule: unclassified non-coding RNA, 372 nt
Filed under: uncultured Thermoleophilia bacterium
Lineage: Bacteria; Bacillati; Actinomycetota; Thermoleophilia
Description: contains 16S-23S intergenic spacer region
Source: RNAcentral